UGGGCACUCUAAGUUGACUGCCGGUGACAAACCGGAGGAAGGUGGGGAUGACGUCAAAUCAUCAUGCCCCUUAUGAUUUGGGCUACACACGUGCUACAAUGGACAAUACAAAGGGCAGCGAAACCGCGAGGUCAAGCAAAUCCCAUAAAGUUGUUCUCAGUUCGGAUUGUAGUCUGCAACUCGACUACAUGAAGCUGGAAUCGCUAGUAAUCGUAGAUCAGCAUGCUACGGUGAAUACGUUCCCGGGUCUUGUACACACCGCCCGUCACACCACGAGAGUUUGUAACACCCGAAGCCGGUGGAGUAACCUUUUAGGAGCUAGCCGUCGAAGGUGGGACAAAUGAUUGGGGUGAAGUCGUAACAAGGUAGCCGUAUCGGAAGGUGCGGCUGGAUCACCUCCUUUCUA
Molecule: ribosomal RNA, 406 nt
Filed under: Staphylococcus aureus
Lineage: Bacteria; Bacillati; Bacillota; Bacilli; Caryophanales; Staphylococcaceae
Description: bacterial SSU rRNA
Rfam family: Bacterial small subunit ribosomal RNA
Source: RNAcentral